UAACGCGUGAGGAACCUGCCUCAAAGAGGGGGACAACAGUUGGAAACGACUGCUAAUACCGCAUAAGCCCACAGCUCGGCAUCGAGCAGAGGGAAAAGGAGCAAUCCGCUUUGAGAUGGCCUCGCGUCCGAUUAGCUAGUUGGUGAGGUAACGGCCCACCAAGGCAACGAUCGGUAGCCGGACUGAGAGGUUGAACGGCCACAUUGGGACUGAGACACGGCCCAGACUCCUACGGGAGGCAGCAGUGGGGAAUAUUGCACAAUGGGGGAAACCCUGAUGCAGCGACGCCGCGUGGAGGAAGAAGGUCUUCGGAUUGUAAACUCCUGUUGUUGAGGAAGAUAAUGACGGUACUCAACAAGGAAGUGACGGCUAACUACGUGCCAGCAGCCGCGGUAAAGCGUAGGUCACAAGCGUUGUCCGGAAUUACUGGGUGUAAAGGGAGCGCAGGCGGGAAGACAAGUUGGAAGUGAAAUCUAUGGGCUCAACCCAUAAACUGCUUUCAAAACUGUUUUUCUUGAGUAGUGCAGAGGUAGGCGGAAUUCCCGGUGUAGCGGUGGAAUGCGUAGAUAUCGGGAGGAACACCAGUGGCGAAGGCGGCCUACUGGGCACCAACUGACGCUGAGGCUCGAAAGUGUGGGUAGCAAACAGGAUUAGAUACCCUGGUAGUCCACACCGUAAACGAUGAUUACUAGGUGU
This 696-nucleotide ribosomal RNA is filed under the name uncultured bacterium. RNAcentral describes it as "bacterial SSU rRNA". It matches the Rfam family "Bacterial small subunit ribosomal RNA", at positions 111 to 823 of the family's 1533-position model. The record is from RNAcentral.